This 496-nucleotide ribosomal RNA is filed under the name uncultured bacterium. RNAcentral's name for it is "partial 16S ribosomal RNA". It matches the Rfam family "Bacterial small subunit ribosomal RNA", at positions 28 to 506 of the family's 1533-position model. The record is from RNAcentral.
GAUGAACGCUGGCGGCGUGCCUAAUACAUGCAAGUCGAGCGAACAGACGAGGAGCUUGCUCCUUUGACGUUAGCGGCGGACGGGUGAGUAACACGUAGGUAACCUACCUAUAAGACUGGGAUAACUUCGGGAAACCGGAGCUAAUACCGGAUAAUAUUUCGAACCGCAUGGUUCGAUAGUGAAAGAUGGCUUUGCUAUCACUUAUAGAUGGACCUGCGCCGUAUUAGCUAGUUGGUAAGGUAACGGCUUACCAAGGCAACGAUACGUAGCCGACCUGAGAGGGUGAUCGGCCACACUGGAACUGAGACACGGUCCAGACUCCUACGGGAGGCAGCAGUAGGGAAUCUUCCGCAAUGGGCGAAAGCCUGACGGAGCAACGCCGCGUGAGUGAUGAAGGUCUUCGGAUCGUAAAACUCUGUUAUUAGGGAAGAACAAACGUGUAAGUAACUGUGCACGUCUUGACGGUACCUAAUCAGAAAGCCACGGCGAACUACGU